UACGAAGGGGGCUAGCGUUGCUCGGAAUCACUGGGCGUAAAGCGCACGUAGGCGGAUUGUUAAGUCAGGGGUGAAAUCCUGGAGCUCAACUCCAGAACUGCCUUUGAUACUGACGAUCUCGAGUCCGGGAGAGGUGAGUGGAACUGCGAGUGUAGAGGUGAAAUUCGUAGAUAUUCGCAAGAACACCAGUGGCGAAGGCGGCUCACUGGCCCGGUACUGACGCUGAGGUGCGAAAGCGUGGGGAGCAAACAGG
Molecule: ribosomal RNA, 253 nt
Filed under: uncultured bacterium
Lineage: Bacteria
Description: partial 16S ribosomal RNA
Rfam family: Bacterial small subunit ribosomal RNA
Source: RNAcentral